AUUGAACGCUGGCGGCAGGCCUAACACAUGCAAGUCGAGCGGAUGAAGGGAGCUUGCUCCUGGAUUCAGCGGCGGACGGGUGAGUAAUGCCUAGGAAUCUGCCUGGUAGUGGGGGAUAACGUCCGGAAACGGGCGCUAAUACCGCAUACGUCCUGAGGGAGAAAGUGGGGGAUCUUCGGACCUCACGCUAUCAGAUGAGCCUAGGUCGGAUUAGCUAGUUGGUGGGGUAAAGGCCUACCAAGGCGACGACCCGUAACUGGUCUGAGAGGAUGAUCAGUCACACUGGAACUGAGACACGGUCCAGACUCCUACGGGAGGCAGCAGUGGGGAAUAUUGGACAAUGGGCGAAAGCCUGAUCCAGCCAUGCCGCGUGUGUGAAGAAGGUCUUCGGAUUGUAAAGCACUUUAAGUUGGGAGGAAGGGAAGUAAGUUAAUACCUUGCUGUUUUGACGUUACCAACAGAAUAAGCCCCGGCUAACUUCGUG
RNAcentral lists this ribosomal RNA (484 nucleotides) under uncultured bacterium. Its description in RNAcentral is "partial 16S ribosomal RNA". It matches the Rfam family "Bacterial small subunit ribosomal RNA", at positions 30 to 507 of the family's 1533-position model. The record is from RNAcentral.